Molecule: ribosomal RNA, 253 nt
Filed under: uncultured bacterium
Lineage: Bacteria
Description: partial 16S ribosomal RNA
Rfam family: Bacterial small subunit ribosomal RNA
Source: RNAcentral
UACGGANGGUGCGAGCGUUAAUCGGAAUUACUGGGCGUAAAGCGCACGCAGGCGGUUUGUUAAGCUAGAUGUGAAGGCCCCGGGCUCAACCUGGGAUGGUCAUUUAGAACUGGCAGACUAGAGUCUUGGAGAGGGGAGUGGAAUUCCAGGUGUAGCGGUGAAAUGCGUAGAUAUCUGGAGGAACAUCAGUGGCGAAGGCGACUCCCUGGCCAAAGACUGACGCUCAUGUGCGAAAGUGUGGGUAGCGAACAGG